This 527-nucleotide ribosomal RNA is filed under the name uncultured bacterium. Its description in RNAcentral is "bacterial SSU rRNA". It matches the Rfam family "Bacterial small subunit ribosomal RNA", at positions 777 to 1312 of the family's 1533-position model. The record is from RNAcentral.
AAUAGAUACCCAGGUAGUCCACGCCCUGACCCAUGAGCGCUGGAUGCCGGAUUUGUUCGGUUUCCAAGCUAACGCGUUAAGCGCUCCGCCUGAUUAGUACGGCCGCAAGGCUGAAAUUCAAAGAAACUGACGGAGAUUUGCACAAGCGGUGGAGUAUGUGGUUUAAUUCGAUGCAACGCGCAAAACCUUACCAACUCUUGACAGGGGUUUGCCAGAACGGUGAAACCGUUGCUGAUGGCCGUACUCAUUCGGUCAUUUAUGCGAACUUACAGGUGCUGCAUGGCUGUCGUCAGCUCGUGUCGUGAGAUGUUCGGUUUAGUCCCUGAACGAGCGCAACCCCUGCUGCCGGUUUCCUUGUCCGGCAGGACUGUCCGGUAAUUCCGGAAGGUGGGGACGACGUCAAGUCAUCAUGCCCCUUAUGUCUUGGGCUGCACACGUGCUACAAUGGCCGGUACAAUGAGCUGCGAUACCGCGAGGUGGAGCGAAUCUCAAAAAGCCGGUCUCAGUUCGGAUUGGGGUCUGCAACC